This 460-nucleotide ribosomal RNA is filed under the name uncultured bacterium. Its description in RNAcentral is "partial 16S ribosomal RNA". It matches the Rfam family "Bacterial small subunit ribosomal RNA", at positions 338 to 795 of the family's 1533-position model. The record is from RNAcentral.
CCUACGGGCGGCAGCAGUGAGGAAUAUUGGUCAAUGGGCGCGAGCCUGAACCAGCCAAGUCGCGUGAGGGAUGACGGUUCUAUGGAUCGUAAACCUCUUUUAUAAAGGAAUAAAGUGUGGGACGUGUCCUAUUUUGUAUGUACCUUAUGAAUCAGGAUCGGCUAACUCCGUGCCAGCAGCCGCGGUAAUACGGAGGAUCCGAGCGUUAUCCGGCUUUAUUGGGUUUAAAGGGUGCGUAGGCGGCCUUUUAAGUCCGCGGUGAAAGUCUGUGGCUCAACCAUAGAAUUGCCGUUGAAACUGGUGGGCUUGAGUAUGUUUGAGGUAGGCGGAAUGCGUGGUGUAGCGGUGAAAUGCUGAGAUAUCACGCAGAACCCCGAGUGCGAAGGCAGCCUGCCAAGCCAUGACUGACGCUGAUGCACGAAAGCGUGGGGAUCAAACAGGAUUAGAUACCCGAGUAGUC